AGGUAUUGGAGCAAGUGACUUUCCUUGAGCAAAACAAAAUAAUUUCGUUAACUGACUGCGGGAGAUCAAUAAUUAUAACAUUACAAUAUCAGCCAUAGACCGUUAGUUAUUAAUUUAGCUUCAGCAACAUUUUCCUAAUUAAGAAACCUACGCAUUGCUGGUAAACAGAUUACCGGGACCCGUAUAUGAUCCCCAUCCAAGGUAUUCAUAUUGAUUCCAUAUUCUAAAUUACACCUUUAACAUAUAAUAAUAAUAAUAAUAAUA
Molecule: unclassified non-coding RNA, 264 nt
Filed under: Hevea brasiliensis (rubber tree)
Lineage: Eukaryota; Viridiplantae; Streptophyta; Magnoliopsida; Malpighiales; Euphorbiaceae
Source: RNAcentral